RNAcentral lists this ribosomal RNA (415 nucleotides) under uncultured bacterium. Its description in RNAcentral is "bacterial SSU rRNA". It matches the Rfam family "Bacterial small subunit ribosomal RNA", at positions 945 to 1359 of the family's 1533-position model. The record is from RNAcentral.
UUUAAUUCGAAGCAACGCGAAGAACCUUACCAAAUCUUGACAUCCUCUGAACCCUCUAGAGAUAGAGUUUUCCCCUUCGGGGGACAGAGUGACAGGUGGUGCAUGGUUGUCGUCAGCUCGUGUCGUGAGAUGUUGGGUUAAGUCCCGCAACGAGCGCAACCCUUAAGCUUAGUUGCCAUCAUUAAGUUGGGCACUCUAAGUUGACUGCCGGUGACAAACCGGAGGAAGGUGGGGAUGACGUCAAAUCAUCGUGCCCCUUAUGAUUUGGGCUACACACGUGCUACAAUGGACAAUACAAAGGGUAGCGAAACCGCGAGGUCAAGCAAAUCCCAUAAAGUUGUUCUCAGUUCGGAUUGUAGUCUGCAACUCGACUAUAUGAAGCUGGAAUCGCUAGUAAUCGUAGACCAGCAUGCUA